This 20-nucleotide small nuclear RNA is filed under the name Arabidopsis thaliana (thale cress). Its description in RNAcentral is "snRNA_17960". Lineage: Eukaryota; Viridiplantae; Streptophyta; Magnoliopsida; Brassicales; Brassicaceae. The record is from RNAcentral.
UCCUUGUGGCCCCUCAAGCC